This is a long non-coding RNA of Prinia subflava (tawny-flanked prinia), 1630 nucleotides long. RefSeq lists it as uncharacterized. The record is from RefSeq and is a predicted model, not a curated record. The transcript is spliced from 3 exons. NCBI's taxonomy places the organism in Eukaryota, Metazoa, Chordata, Aves, Passeriformes, Cisticolidae.
UGCUUCCUUAGCCUAGGCUGAUCCCACAAGAAAUGUUACCUUUUUCCAUGCCAUCCUUGGUGCAUGUAGGGAGCUCAUCAGUGUGCUGAGGUUUUCAAUAAAACAUGGGUGUAACAGCUGGCACAGGUGCAGGUAGUGCCUCACUGCCCUCCAGAGAUGAGCAGGAGCAGACCGGUGAUAGCGUGUCAGCCCCGUGGCAGCAAACAGCAUCCAGAGCCCAGCGAGGAGAAAGGAGGAGAAGGAGGCAGUAUGUCAGCUCUGGCAGGACCCAAAUGGAGGAAAAAUGUGACUCUGGAAAAGUAAUCAUGCUCCUGAGGGGGCAGGGAAGUCAGUGUGCCCCUGCCACUUUGCUCCAUGCCCACAUGAAAGGAUAAUGUGCUUAAAAAUGCUCCACUGCACUACCCGCUACCAGGACGCCUGGAGUAGGGCUGCCACUGGAUACAUGGGCUACUCCCUUCCAAGGUCACUCAAGGAAUCCAGCAGUUUGUGCUGGCUGUCACAGGUUUAGGUUGCAUUGAGGCAGCCAUACCGGUGUUGAGCAGACUGAUACAGAGCACGCAUUGUUUACUGCAGUUUUCACACCCUUAUCUGAGAGGAAAGGCCAGCACAUGAUCUCACGUGGGUUUGUUUCCCAGCCUCGUGCUGUUUGUAAAGGGCACUGUAUACCUGGUCAGAAACAAUGGCUUCCUGUUUCAUUAAUGAGUUCUUACAGCAAUUUCCCUUCAGAGUAAUCACCUUGGGUGAAGGAGGUGUGCCCGUCCAAAAGCAAUUGUCCCUCCCAGUGGGUCACAUUGGGGGCACCAUUCUCCACCAACAGAAAAACCACUCCUUUUGGGUCUCAGUUUGGAUGCUAAAGAAACCAGUGCUGCCAGAGUCAUCAGUCACCUGAAGCUAUCAGUCAGAAUGUCUCCUGGGAUUAAAAAACUCUCCUUGGGAAAGUAUCCACUUCCCAUGAUCUCAGGCUGAAGUCUCCUGCAUUAGCCACUGAGGCUAAAUCACCACUCAUCUCAGCCAGUUUAGCUGCCACACCUUUUUCCAGAUGGAAGGUUUCUGAGCUGCAUGUUGGCACUACAAGUGAGAGAACUGGUGGCAUCACUCCGACUUAUGGCAGCAAAAGGUCUGACUUAGAUCAUGAGCUGUUGGAACCAGGUGGGGCAGUGUUUCCCUUGCCCCUCCCUCUGGACUAUCUCCUGUUCAUGGGCCAUACAGGCCCUGCCCAUGACUCACAGGUAACUCCCUCUGGAGCUCUCUCUGUUCAAUGGGCAAUCAAGGACCCACUGCAGGACUCAUGGAAUGAGAUCAGCCCAUUGGGAGAUGCUCUGCCCAGGGGAGGAGCCAAGCAUUCCCACCUGGAUAUAACCUGGGAUUUGGGACAGCACAGGAGCCCUUACCCACUGGAUUCACAGAGGAAGACUAGACCUUUUCUUGAUGAUCGUCUCUACUCCAACAGAGCCACAUCUGUCACUCCAGGAGGACUUAUUUUGGACUGUUUCCAACACCCUGACCAACAGGGUAUCAGGUUUGUAUUCUGACUUUGUCAGUGGUUCUUUGUACUACUGCAUUUAUUUUUAUUUUUACCUUUUUGUUGUUUGUUUCUUCUCUCUCUAUUAAAUUGUAUUUCUGACUUGAA